UGGCUAGCAUAUACAUGUUAUCCAAGAAACUGCCAACCCAUUAUAUAAAUAUUUAAUUUGGAUUAUUGAAUCAAUGAAAGUUCUUGCGUAUUGUUAUUCCAGCAGCCUAUUUCAUAUUGGAAAUAGGGAACCUGGCUCUCUGUUUUCUACCUUUUGCCUCCUGCAACCACCAUCUUCACUUCCUACUUCUUACUAAAGAUGAAGAGAUUUGUGUAUUGAAUUUAAAAAUCUUGAUUUGCUUAUUUUCAUGUCCCCGUCUUCAUCUUGAAUUGCUUGUUCCUUGUUUGAAAGCUAUUCUAUGGUGUCCAUUGUCAUUGCCUACACAUACAACGGUUAUACAUAUACGUGUGUAUAUAUGUGUAUGAGUGUGUUUAAUUCUCUCUCAUUGAGUAGACUCGUGUUUGGGUGAAUUUGUAUCGAAAGCGGGGCAAUAUUAUCGAUAAUUUGCGGUUUUAUUUUGCUUUAGGAGAAAGGUUUUGUAUUCUUGAAUAUAUACAUUGAAUUUCAAUGGAUUUGAGGCUUGUUUCGAUGGCUGUGGUAGAAUUGGAGAGGG
RNAcentral lists this long non-coding RNA (553 nucleotides) under Olea europaea (common olive). RNAcentral's name for it is "long non-coding RNA (OEUR_LNC003694)". Lineage: Eukaryota; Viridiplantae; Streptophyta; Magnoliopsida; Lamiales; Oleaceae. The record is from RNAcentral.